Molecule: ribosomal RNA, 252 nt
Filed under: uncultured bacterium
Lineage: Bacteria
Description: partial 16S ribosomal RNA
Rfam family: Bacterial small subunit ribosomal RNA
Source: RNAcentral
UACGGAGGAUGCGAGCGUUAUCCGGAUUUAUUGGGUUUAAAGGGUGGGUAGGCGGACUGUCAAGUCAGCGGUAAAAUUGAGAGGCUCAACCUCUUCCCGCCGUUGAAACUGGUGGUCUUGAGUGGAUGAGAAGUACGCGGAAUGCGUGGUGUAGCGGUGAAAUGCAUAGAUAUCACGCAGAACUCCGAUUGCGAAGGCAGCGUACCGGCAUCCAACUGACGCUGAGGCACGAAAGCGUGGGGAUCAAACAGG